Molecule: ribosomal RNA, 426 nt
Filed under: uncultured Spartobacteria bacterium
Lineage: Bacteria; Pseudomonadati; Verrucomicrobiota; Spartobacteria
Description: partial 16S ribosomal RNA
Rfam family: Bacterial small subunit ribosomal RNA
Source: RNAcentral
UCGAGAAUUUUUCUCAAUGGGGGAAACCCUGAAGGAGCGACGCCGCGUGGAGGAUGAAUGCUUUCGGGUUGUAAACUCCUGUCAUUUGGGAACAAAGCCUUACGUUAACUGCGUGGAGGUUUGAUAGUACCAGAAGAGGAAGAGACGGCUAACUCUGUGCCAGCAGCCGCGGUAAUACAGAGGUCUCAAGCGUUGUUCGGAUUCAUUGGGCGUAAAGGGCGCGUAGGCUGCGGGGUAAGUCGGGUGUGAAAUCUCAGAGCUCAACUCUGAAACUGCACUCGAUACUGCUCUGCUAGAGGACUGGAGAGGAGAUUGGAAUUCACGGUGUAGCAGUGAAAUGCGUAGAUAUCGUGAGGAAGACCAGUGGCGAAGGCGGAUCUCUGGACAGUUCCUGACGCUGAGGCGCGAAGGCCAGGGGAGCAAACG